CCCUUAGAUGUCCUGGGCCGCACGCGCGCUACAAUGACUCACUCAGAAAGUUUUUCCUGAUCCGGAAGGAUUCGGGUAAUCUUCAUAGCAUGAGUCGUGUUAGGGAUCGAUCUUUGCAAUUAUAGAUCUUGAACGAGGAAUGCCUAGUAAGUGCAGCUCAUCAGGCUGUACUGAUUACGUCCCUGCCCUUUGUACACACCGCCCGUCGCUCCUACCGAUUGAGUGGUCCGGUGAGCCUUCUGGAUUAAGCAGCAAUGCUUGAGAAGUUAGGUAAACCUUAUCACUUAGAGGAAGGAGAAGUCGUAACA
Molecule: ribosomal RNA, 308 nt
Filed under: uncultured eukaryote
Lineage: Eukaryota
Description: partial 18S ribosomal RNA
Rfam family: Eukaryotic small subunit ribosomal RNA
Source: RNAcentral